GAUGAACGCUGGCGGCGUGCCUAAUACAUGCAAGUCGAGCGAACAGACGAGGAGCUUGCUCCUCUGACGUUAGCGGCGGACGGGCGAGUAACACGUGGAUAACCUACCUAUAAGACUGGGAUAACUUCGGGAAACCGGAGCUAAUAUCGGAUAAUAUAUUGAACCGCAUGGUUCAAUAGUGAAAGACGGUUUUGCUGUCACUUAUAGAUGGAUCCGCGCCGCAUUAGCUAGUUGGUAAGGUAACGGCUUACCAAGGCAACGAUGCGUAGCCGACCUGAGAGGGUGAUCGGCCACACUGGAACUGAGACACGGUCCAGACUCCUACGGGAGGCAGCAGUAGGGAAUCUUCCGCAAUGGGCGAAAGCCUGACGGAGCAACGCCGCGUGAGUGAUGAAGGUCUUCGGAUCGUAAAACUCUGUUAUUAGGGAAGAACAAAUGUGUAAGUAACUAUGCACGUCUUGACGGUACCUAAUCAGAAAGCCACGGCUAACUACGUG
This 497-nucleotide ribosomal RNA is filed under the name uncultured bacterium. Its description in RNAcentral is "partial 16S ribosomal RNA". It matches the Rfam family "Bacterial small subunit ribosomal RNA", at positions 28 to 507 of the family's 1533-position model. The record is from RNAcentral.